AGCCAUGCAUGUCUAGUUAUAAGCUGUAUACGGUGAGACUGCGAAUGGCUCAUUAAAACAGUUAUAGUUUAUUUGCUGGACGUGUAUAUGGAUAACCGUAGCAAUUCUNNAGCUAAUACAUGCUGGUUGCGCUGCUCUGCNGCGUAAUANUUAUUAUAUAAAAUGCCAUUGGCGCGAGCCAUGGAGGAAUCAUNGUAACUUGACUCACUUUUCGAAUUGAAGCAUUCAAGUUUCUGCCCUAUCAGCUUUCNAUGGUAGUGNAUUGGACUACCAUGGCGAUGACGGGUGACGGAGAAUUACGGUUCUAUUCCGGAGAGGGAGCCUGAGAAAUGGCUACCACAUCUAAGGAAGGCAACAGGCGCCCACAUUACCCAAUCCUGACUCAGGGAGGUAGUGACAAGAAAUNACAACUCGGGGCUAUGUCUCGAGAUUGGAAUGAGAACAANGCAAAAGCCUUACCGAGGACCCACUGGAGGGCAAGUCUGGU
RNAcentral lists this ribosomal RNA (487 nucleotides) under uncultured ciliate. Its description in RNAcentral is "SSU rRNA". It matches the Rfam family "Eukaryotic small subunit ribosomal RNA", at positions 47 to 565 of the family's 1831-position model. Lineage: Eukaryota; Ciliophora. The record is from RNAcentral.